This is a long non-coding RNA of Numida meleagris (helmeted guineafowl), 9998 nucleotides long. RefSeq lists it as uncharacterized. The record is from RefSeq and is a predicted model, not a curated record. The transcript has 3 exons. NCBI's taxonomy places the organism in Eukaryota, Metazoa, Chordata, Aves, Galliformes, Numididae.
AAAAGAAAAAGUCAAUUCUUAGUAUAUAUUCAUGGCAUUUAACAGCUUUGAAAUGAAAUGGCAGGACUAGCAGGUGGGCAAUAUCGCUAGCCUGUCACUGGGCAGACCUGUUCCCUGGGAAAUGGGACACAUGCUUUGUACAGGAGCUUGGCAGAGCUGCAGAACCACCAUCACAUCCUUUGGAAGAGAGAUCCUGGGACGCACUGCUCACUGUGGGGGAGGUUCUCACACCUCACAGCAAACAGAGCUAGGGUAUCUAGCUAUCCCUCACUCCUCUUUAUGCCACUGAACACAUGAUAUAAAAAUGCUUUUAUUCUAGCCUUGGUUUCCAUAUUGACAGGAGAAGGACAGAGCCUCACACUGCCUUUCUUGUCCUGUUCUAUACUAACAACAGUAUGUCGACUCCUUGCCAGUGACUUCGUGGGACCUCAGGAUAUGGAUGUCCUGAACUCAGUAGGAUGCUUCAAAUUCCUGCCACCUCUCCUGUCCUACAGCUCCUGAUUUCUUCAGUUCUCAUCCCUGUCUACGAGGCCGUCUCACUUCUCCUGGGAACUCAAGCUCUUCAAGGCUCCUGAAGCACUGCUCCAUGAAGGCAGCAUGCCUUGGGCAUCACUGGAGCCAGGUGGCAUGGGCCACCCCUACACUGCAUGGCUCAUCACUGCCAACUGGUUCAGAUGCAGUUGGGUAAGAAACACCUCUUGAAACCUUCCUCACCUUCUCUCAUAUGCCACACACGUGAAAGCUUCGUGUUGUGAAGCUCUCUCACCUCCUGCGUUGUGUUUAUGACAACAGAGUAUUUCACCGUAUGUUGUUAUUUUUCCAGGAUAAAAUGCUCAGCAAAGCCAACAACACUAACCCAUCUAAAACAAACACCAGGGAAAGUAACUAUACUGCUUCUUGUUUUAAAAAUUAUAUUAAACCACUGUGUAGGUUUCUCUCCCUUACCAGAAAUGUGACUGUGUACAGCAACAACACAUGAGCGUGCUUUACUUGGGAUACAGGCAUAUUUUUGGGGAGCAUCUGCUGCCCCUCCCAGCACAGCUAGAACACUCUGAGAGCCACAUGUUGCUCACCCAGUUGUGCUCACAACGAGCCUUCCAUAGCAGUUAAAAACUUCUCUCAAAAUCUUUCUUACUUGCGCACCCACACUCCAGCAGACAUGCUCCACUACAUUCAGUCCUUCUAACCACCUACUUGGCUGGCACAGCUCUAACACCAGGAGGCACAAGAACAACAACAACAACAAAAGUACUACCAAAACAGUUCAUCAUCCCUACAUUCUUCCCACUUUUAAGCCUGUUGUUAUCAUCUGAUAAAUAAUAUUAGAAGAUUUUCCACGAGCUUAAGACAGACAUAAGGGUUUUUAUAUCAUAAGUGAGGGUUUUAACAACUACCUCCACCAGAAAAGAAACCACUUGUGAGACAGAUGCUUAUUUUGUAAUGUGUAUUACUGAACUGAAAAAAAAUUCUUCUGAGUCAGGGAAAAGAUCAGUACACAGAUGAGGCCAGAAGUCCACUGUAAAGAUUCCCACCAGGCUUUUUUCCAAACUGCUAGUACAGUUAGAAGCAGAGACAAAAAAACAAGCGGAUUUUAUACAAAGCGAUAUCAUAUUGAUAAUUUUGUAACAGCGAAUGGAAAAUAGUCAGAGAGCUCUUCACACAAGCCUUAUAAUGAUCUUUAAGUAUUAUCCAAAACAACUUCUGUGUUAUAAUCUCAGAAGAGCAGAGUCUGGCUUGUGUAGCACACAACAAGACCCAGCCCCCAUGAGGAGCCAUAGACUGUAAACAUAAAGUAUAUUACACUCUAUGUUCUGCUGGAGAACCUGAGACACAGCAAAUCUUGUUGAAGGUCACACUGCAAGGCAGCAGAUGAAUCAAGAUUAAAAAACCUCUGUUUCCCAGACUCUGACUGGAUUGAGCCUGCAUGCCCAAAAGGCCCUCUCUCAUGACAGAGCUGGCUUUGGAAGCCAGCUCAGCUAGCGACAAUAAGAUGUGCUUGCUUCACUGCAGACAACCAAUCACCGUUCUGUUCUGUCUCUACAUACUGUUAAACUCUAACUGGAAAAAGGACAAGAGGAGGAGAAAUUACCAGGGGAGGAAUUACAAAAAAUACACAAAUGGAAUUCAAAUGGAUUUUUUUUUUCCUUUUUCUUUGUGUGUGUUUCUGAAUCGAUAACUGAACACAUGACCUCUCUGCACAGAAUGCAGGAUAUAGAUCACAGUUCCAGUCUGAGUCAAUGAGGACUGCCAGCGUGGCAACUCAAUAUCCAAAAACACAUGCCACCUGUUAGAAGCAAGCAGGGGAACGGCCUUUGGAACUCCACAACAAGCCUUUCCCACCCCAUUGCCUCUGCAUAAAAGGCACUGAUGUUACCAUCCUCACCUGGCACUAAGCUCUGAAGACAUGCUUUCACUGCAGAGGCAGUAGCAAAGAGAGGCAGAAUUCAGCAGGGCAGACACAGGUUAGAGAGAAACACACAAUAAAUACUGCGUCUUUUUAUGAGGUGAUUCCGUAUAAGACACACCACAUAAACAGCUCCAGGCAUAUCAGUUGUGAUGUAAAGCAGUCUUCAUUCUAAUCCUGCACCAUAAAUCCAUACAAAACACUCCACUCUGAGUCCUACAUUCUCAAUUUUUACUGAGAAGACCAAGAACUGCAAGUCAGCGUCUUCCCAAAAAACUCACAUCCUUCUAGUUUUCGAUCCCGUCAGAUGAAAUAGAAUAAUUAGACUAUUUGGGAUUCCGUGAUAGAUCCACGAUCUUCAUGUGUUAGACAAAACGGAGUUUUUACAGGAGAAAACAAUGUGAAGACGGACUUAAAAGCUCAGUACUCCAUGUGUUACCUGCAGAAACUUCCAAGCAAGUGCCUUCUGAGUGGAACAGGUAAUCUAAGCACCACUGUAACAGUAAGAACACAGUGUAUUGAUCUGUGCGAAAGCCUGGCAAAGUACUAUAUUACUUUUACGAUUCUAUCCCCAAAGUGUCAACCUGGAGAAUGCUUCUCUGGUUCACUCACUCACUCACCUCUCUCACUUCAUUUUUAGUAUUGAGCUCAGCCUCAGUUUUGCAAAGAGCUGUAGCUUCAAUUUCCUGGUUAUCAGUUUAAAUACAAAAAUCACAAGACAGCUGGAUUAUUCUGUAGAAUAAGGAUGAAACUGGAGUCUUAAGAUGGGCUGCCACACCUGCAGUGCCCAGCUGAGGGGCAAGAGGGAGAGGAAGCCCCUUUGCUGGGCACUUCUGAAUCACAGCAGUGUUUUGAUAACAAUGACUCCAUUCAAGCCUCUUGUGAAGCUCCCAAACAAGCCCCCAUUUGUUACAUGGGUGAUCUCAAAAAAUAAAAAAAAAAAUAAUAAAAAUAAAAGGCCUGUAUCAGAUUGCUGCUCAAGAAUCUGUCAGCUCUGAUCUCUUUAACAAGGCUUCACAGCCAGAGGGCAUGCCAGCUGGCACAGCAUGUGUUAAGCUCUUUGGGGACCACAUUAGCUGGUUUAGGUUCAAAGAAAAAAAAAGUAAAAAAAAAAAAAACCUAGCAUGAUUUAUAUUAAAAGGUAAGAGAAAUGUCAGAAACCGCUCGUAACUCAAAAUACAAAGCUCUGAAAAAUCUGCACUGAAAUAAACAAACAAACCACCACCCACCUCACUGAAAAUUAAUCCCUCUCAAAGGAAAAGAAAAUACCUGGCUCCUCUUUUGAGAUCGAACUCCUUGGAAUUCAUCACCACAAAAACUUCAAGUUUAGAGCUAAGUUAAGGUUUUCUUCCAAUUCUCUUAUUGCAAGCUUACCAGGACUGUCUGAGUGAAAAUUGCAGGAGGUGGCAGUCAGAAAGCACAGUAAGGAUUAAUUAUUUUUCUGGUGCAAGGACGCAGGCUCAGUGAGCUCCCGUCCUACCAGGAAAGCAUCACUAUAUCAGAGAGCAUCAGUUCCAUCAUAAGCUACCUCGCAAAUCACCAGUGUUAAGACAAAUGCUUUAUAAAACUUAGAAGCUCUGUUUCCUAGUGAUAUACAGUGUCAAUGUGAAACAUAAACCAUUUUACAAAUUAUCAGCUGCUAAACCACUUGGCAACUGAUGUGAUAUGAAAGCAAGAUAAUAAUCAGAAUUGUGUGGUUUCAAUAUCUGAUUUGCAGAUAUUUCCAAUGCUCUGAAUUAUGGUGGGGAUUGGUACAAAAACUUAGUACUCAUCCACAACCAGAGACAAGAGUAUCUAUAUAUUUUCUGGGGGCUGCUGAUACACUCAUGCCAAGGCACAUGGAAGAUAGUGGAUGUCCUGUGACACCUUUAUCGAGAACUUCUGUCAUUCAAGCUCCCCCUAGCUGAGCCACAGAAGGUUUUACUAUCCCAGAAAACAGUAUCGUGUGUACAUUUCCACAGCUCUUUUAUUAUUCAGAAUAUAACCCGACUUUCUGGAACACGCAGUGGCAAGACCUUGUCUUUGUCUAAAACAGCUCUAAUUCAGAGGUCUUUCUCCUACGCUUCCUGUGAGACAGUUGAUGCUUUGGGCACCAAAGGGACUGGAGUAACUGAGUUACACAGUAAUCAGAGAAGGAAUCUGAUUCAUUUUCCAACCCAUUCCAUUUUAAUGGCGUCAUUGUGACACAGAAUUCCUCCUUUGCCUGCCUCCUCCUGGGACACUGCAACCUCUCCCUUGGCUGUAGUGAUUACCCACGCGUCAGGCCUGCAGGUACUGCUCAGCUCUCUUGUGAAUGUGAAGGAUCUGGUAACGUCAGCAGACCAUGAUUGCUUUUGCACUCAGUUGGACUGGAAAGAACAGGAUUGCCAGAAAAAUGAAAUUACCUGCAGCAGAAAGACAAGAAUUCUCUGCAGCCUGUUCAGUGAGGUGCUCAGUGGAAAGGAGAACCCAAUUCUCUUAGUCUAGCCUGAUAGAAGGCAUUCAGCCCAGAAAAUGCACUUCAAAAAUCCAACCUACAGUUAUAUCAAUAUGGGAGAAGCACUGGAGAAGAAAUGAAGCCAGAGACUGCAUCAAGCGGGAAAGUUGCCUCCACUGUUCUUACAGUGCUUUCUGCCCUGUCAGCUGAGAUCAUUCCCCAUACUGAGACAAAAGCAGUGUUAGCAAAGUGCACCACCUCGCACCUGAAUUAAAGAAUACUCACACUAAAACACGAUAAAUGCUGAAAUUGCUCGUUUAUAUUGAAAUCUAAAGUAGAGAUGUGCUAGCUAAGCUCAGCGAGAUAACAGACACUUUAUAGUUUUCAGAUCACUUAACGCUAAAAUCUUAUGCACAGUUGUGACGGGAGAGAAACAAUCACAUUUAGAACAUUCAAGUAAUUCAAACUUGACUUUGCAGCAACACUACAGCUAAAUAAUUCAUGCUUUUUAGGAGCCCUGAAUUAGAUUAACACUGUACUUAAAUAAAAGAUUGUUUCCUCUUUUUCAACUAUGCCAUGAAAAGGGAGAACAAAAGCAGCCUGGGUAUCCAAACUGAAUUUUCUUAUCUUCUCUGUUGUAGGCAAAACACAAGUAUUAAAUAAUUUUUAGCUACAGCAACUUUGAAGAGCUGUAACUGUCCUACUGAAAAAUAAACCAUGAUAAGCAUCUUUUGAAAUUUUAGACAUCAUUUUUAAAGUUAAAUAUGCAGAUUAAUUUUAAUUCUAAUUAUUUGGUCUACUUAAAUCUGACAUAAUUAAUUUGGUAGCUGGAAUGUAAAAAUUACUGCUUUUUGGAAGACAUGCUCUGUUUUGGUACACAACAAAGAAAUGAAGCCUCUACCUGAAUUGCAAAACUGAGUCUGUAUAUGGAUCUGGGUUAGUGUUUCUGCAAUAUGGAAAGCUUUGACUUUGCCUUCAUUCUCACACAAAGCACUACAUGGCUUGUAGAAUAUCUGUGACUGGAAGCCUAAUGGAAAGCUCAUUCAAAGGACCUGCUGACACCUUGAUACUUGCAGCAAAGAUCGUGCCCCCGUGCUUUUAUGCCGAUUUCUGCACACAGACCUCUUUGCCAGCCUGCACUGUCCCAACCUAUUUAUCUGACAUGAUCAAGCAGCAGCACGAGGCAGCAGCCUGCUGCUGGAGGAAACCCAGCCUUGCUGGGAGGAUCCAGUUGUGUCCUCUCAUCCAAACGUGGACUCCCCAGGGAACAGAGAGGAAAACUCCACUGCUGAGCCAGAACUGUUGGCUCCAUGUUCAGGAGACCAAUACCAGGAACUGCCUGCCAGGGAAAUGUCAGCAUCAUUUUUGGCUUCUUUCUCUCCUAAGAACAGCUACAGAAGGGGCAGAAGGAAGAGGAACAUUACCACAAGAGACAAGACAGGGUAGGAUUUUGAAAUCUUCAACUUCCUCUUUACACACUGGUCCAUAAGAAGCAUAAGAAAUGGUUUCUGAGAUCAUUUGUAGAAACAGUGAGAACUCUUCACAUAUCUUCUGGCAGACAGGUAAAUAUCAUUUUUAAAGCAAGGAAAUUUGACAGUAGGACUGAAUUCAAUCCACUAUUCCACUUUUAACUUGUGGUUACGCAUUGCCCCCCCAUCUGCAAAAUGAGAACCAUGUUAAACAAAGACUGUGAGCAGUGGUGCCUCAACAGCACUUUGUGAACAUCUUCGAAUGAAUUCUUAUCCUGAUGUUACUCUGUAAAACAAACUUCCAAAAUGCGAUAAAGGUGGGAUUGCUACCUGCUCUACUGUAAACAUACCAGAUAAUGAGAUUUGAGACAGACAGAAGGUGAAAAAUCCUCUUGCAGUUCUCAAUUAGAAGAAUGACUUCAACUUGGCUUUGCUUGCUUACAGCACAGAAGUUGGUCAGUGAAAGGGGUGAAAAUUAUUUUCCCCUCCACUGUAUUUGCCAAACACAUACAUUUCUUUUUUUAUUGCUGCUGUUUGCGUCAAACAGGGGAAUUGCACUCACCCAACAAGGGCCACCUCAGAGGUUAAACUACUGGCAGUGGCAUUUAAUUUAUUGGGAAGGAGGAUGACAGUGAAUUUACUUUAGGUCAAAUUGCUUAUAUGAAGAAUCACCUUGGACUUUGCAAGUGCUAGGAAUACAAACAAGAGGAGAUAUUUGAGUCCUCUACCUUUUUAGAGAGAGUUUCGCUUUCCUUCAUGAUCCUAAAUAGAUUGAUGCCAAUCAACAAACUUCAUAUACACAGGCUAAACCAAUGCCACGAAUGCCACCCCCAGGUACCCUACCACUUCAGAAGAGACUCCUCAAAUUGUCUCCCCCACUCCUUAUAUAAAUCCAAAACAGCAGUUGUAUAUACAUCAGUGGGAGACACUGGGGGUGUUAUGUGCUCUCCCACACUCACCAUACAUCCCACCCCUAGGAAACAUUUGCCCAUCACACAAAUAUAUUCCACACUUGAAUUUUCAGCAUAAAAGUGCUUACUUUGACAUGAAGCACGCAACACGGAGCGGUCACUAAGCAUUGCAGAAAGGUGAGCUUCUCCAUUCCGUCUUUUUUGGUUCUAAAAAUGAAGGUGUCUGUAUAACCUCAGCUCAUACAUAAGGCUAUGAAAAAGUAACAUUAUGCAUCCUUUGUUGCACAAUACCUAACUUUACAACCUUUUGUUUGGAAGAAUGCAUCACACUGAAUUAAAAGCAGCUUUUGAAACUGUAAGCAACAAAAAUCCCUUCAAGGAAUAUUUUGCAUUAAAGAUGCCUUCAAAUUCAUAGUGAAAGACUCCAGUACCAGCUGUAUUCUGAGAACAAUGUGCGCUUGCUCUCUACCAGUCCUUGUGCCUGGCUUGCUGGCUCCACAGGGAGUUGGUUAUUGCCCUAAGGGAGUAUUAGAUAAUGAAGAGCUCAGAGUUUGUCUUUCGCUUCAUGCCCGGGCUCAUCCUAGUGCGUAUAAGUAGGCUUAGUUUGCAAACUGUCUUUCUCAACCUCUUCCCCCUCCUGUUUUCCAGCAACCCAGCAACAUUUUUUAUAAAUGAGCACUUCCAAUUGCCUCUCUUGAAACAUGCUUAUUGAAUCCAUCACCUUAUUUAGAGUGCUCCAGAGGACUGAAAUGAGGUUCCCAGCUUUCAAAUGCACUGAGUGACUUCAUCAUGAAGCAUCACAAAACUGACAUCUCACAGAGUAGUAACUGCUCAAGUACCUGCUCCAGUCCAGCAGCACUGCGCUACAGGUGGCACAUCAUCCUGCUAGAAGGAAAUGCUGGGACUGGUGUGUGGAAUGACAUGUGUCAAGAGAGACACAGCUACACACUGAAGUGGUAAUACUAGGCAGAAUGGGAGCUUGCGCAAUCAGACCUUAAUUAUGGUUUCAGGCAAAUGGCUGCAUCCACUCAUGAAAUGCUGUAACAUUUUACUAAGCAUAUAAAAUGGUUGUUUUAGGAUGGAGGACAGCAGUAGGCUUAAUGACUUUUCAUUAUACUUCAUCUAAGAAAAACAGACUCGAUACACAAUUUCUGGACGGUUUAAAGCAAUGGAGAAUAUUUUUAUGAAAAGAUCAUUUAUGUUUUUAUAGCCAUUUCAUUCAAAUCAUCAAAGCAGAAAAGACAUAUGGGAGGUUGCCUGUCAAUUCCAGCAGUGAGGUUAGACCCAAGUUUCCUAGAGUAAUCAGCAUGUGACCUGUGACAGGUUACUUCAGUUUUAUUACUUGAACACAUCUGUCAACUAACACCAUUUAAUUAUCUUCUUGAGAUUCUUGAAUUUAAUAGCAUAUAGAAAGGCCAAAGUCUUAAAAUAAAUACGAUAACAGGGAAAAAAUUCCAUUGCAAACUCAAAGCAAAUCACAUCACUUAAGCAGAGAACGCCAACCUUCCUUGUAUUUUACAAGCUGAAGCUAGGAAGUGAAGAUGGAGGGCUGAGAAGGGAACUGGAAAUAAUGUCACCUCUUCACAUAGUUGCAUCAUAGAGAAAAGUUGUAUACUGCAGGAAUAGCAUUUAGGUAGUUACUUACAAAGCAGCCUAAUCAUCACUACAAAAAGAAGAAAAAAAAUCCUAAGACUCUUAAGAGAGGUUCUGUGAAAAGUUUCUGGUCUGUGCUCCAGGCCAUGCUCUUAUGCUCUACAUCUGCAGCCUUUGGCCACACUGCAGGAGCACCAAUAUCAUCAGAGGGAACUUGACUGGUUAACUGAAGAACAUUAUUUAAAGGCUCAAGUUCUGUUUAGAGUGCUCUGACCAAGAGAAGGUUAGGAGGUCUUCAUCCUUGAGCUUGAAGAUCAGGAAAUUUCUUAAUGACCAGAACAUCUUCGGUGUUCCAAGUGAAUCAUUUCCCAGGGAAUUAAAAAAUGAAAAUCAAACACACUGUAACAAAAUUAUUUUCUUUUACUAGUUCUUGGUGAAAGAAAAAAGAACAUUUACAAAAUUUUCUAACUCUAAUCUUUCAAGUUGCUAAAUAUUAGCUUAGCAAAACCAGCUUUGCUCUUGAUAUGCAAAUGAGAAUCUAGAUUGCUGUAUGAAAAACCACUAGGAAAUGUGACUGCAUUUGUCCUCAGGGAGCAUAUAAAACAUCAUCUGAUUUUUAAAAUAUUCUGUCUGUAAUGGCUCCAAUCUUUACAAAGAUUUCAUCAGUUACCAGUAUUGCUGAUAUCUGUUCACCUUCUAGUCAGGUAUCCAAGACUGACUUAGAAGGGUCAACAGAGUAUCUACCUUUAAUAGAGAGUAAGCAGUAGCUUACGCAAAGGAAUGCAGUCAUACUCAGAUUCCUUAUACUAUUCCCAUGCAUUUGAGCCACCAACUUCUUACAGGCCACAUUUUAGAAUCUGAAUUUAACCCAUUGGGAAGGGUUAAACACCCUAUCAGGGGAGGGAAAGAGAGGGCAGAGGGAGAAGGAGAACAAGGAACUAACACAGAGCUUAAUGACCAAGGAAUGUAGCAGGCAUAGCAGUGCAAGAUACAAGCCCCGCCAGCUCCACUUAGUGCACUGCCUAACACAAUCACUGAAGAACAGAACAGCUCCUCCAUCCUCCUCUCAAAGCAUGUUCCUUGCAGAUGAUGACUGGUUAAACACACAAUCAAAUAGCAAAGCAUGAAGGCAAACAAUGUUUUCCUGCAAACAAUGUUUACAGUCUAGGUAACAAUUAGAUAAGGAAUAACACAGAUUAACACAA